Molecule: ribosomal RNA, 626 nt
Filed under: Enterobacter sp. c38(2012)
Lineage: Bacteria; Pseudomonadati; Pseudomonadota; Gammaproteobacteria; Enterobacterales; Enterobacteriaceae
Description: bacterial SSU rRNA
Rfam family: Bacterial small subunit ribosomal RNA
Source: RNAcentral
UGCAGUCGAGCGGUAGCACAGGGAGCUUGCUCCUGGGUGACGAGCGGCGGACGGGUGAGUAAUGUCUGGGAAACUGCCUGAUGGAGGGGGAUAACUACUGGAAACGGUAGCUAAUACCGCAUAACGUCGCAAGACCAAAGAGGGGGACCUUCGGGCCUCUUGCCAUCAGAUGUGCCCAGAUGGGAUUAGCUAGUAGGUGGGGUAACGGCUCACCUAGGCGACGAUCCCUAGCUGGUCUGAGAGGAUGACCAGCCACACUGGAACUGAGACACGGUCCAGACUCCUACGGGAGGCAGCAGUGGGGAAUAUUGCACAAUGGGCGCAAGCCUGAUGCAGCCAUGCCGCGUGUAUGAAGAAGGCCUUCGGGUUGUAAAGUACUUUCAGCGGGGAGGAAGGUGUUGAGGUUAAUAACCUCAGCAAUUGACGUUACCCGCAGAAGAAGCACCGGCUAACUCCGUGCCAGCAGCCGCGGUAAUACGGAGGGUGCAAGCGUUAAUCGGAAUUACUGGGCGUAAAGCGCACGCAGGCGGUCUGUCAAGUCGGAUGUGAAAUCCCCGGGCUCAACCUGGGAACUGCAUUCGAAACUGGCAGGCUAGAGUCUUGUAGAGGGGGGUAGAAUUCCAGGU